ACGUAGGGAGCAAGCGUUGUCCGGAAUUACUGGGCGUAAAGGGUGCGUAGGUGGCCAUGUAAGUCAGAUGUGAAAGACCGGGGCUUAACCCCGGGGUUGCAUUUGAAACUGUGUGGCUUGAGUACAGGAGAGGGAAGUGGAAUUCCUAGUGUAGCGGUGAAAUGCGUAGAUAUUAGGAGGAACACCAGUGGCGAAGGCGACUUUCUGGACUGUAACUGACACUGAGGCACGAAAGCGUGGGGAGCAAACAG
RNAcentral lists this ribosomal RNA (251 nucleotides) under uncultured bacterium. RNAcentral describes it as "partial 16S ribosomal RNA". It matches the Rfam family "Bacterial small subunit ribosomal RNA", at positions 525 to 775 of the family's 1533-position model. The record is from RNAcentral.